This 529-nucleotide ribosomal RNA is filed under the name uncultured bacterium. Its description in RNAcentral is "bacterial SSU rRNA". It matches the Rfam family "Bacterial small subunit ribosomal RNA", at positions 17 to 518 of the family's 1533-position model. The record is from RNAcentral.
UCCUGACUUAGGACGAACGCUGGCGGCGUGCCUAAUACAUGCAAGUCGAACGGUCUUUCUAUGGAAGCUUGCUUCCACUGAGAAGAUAGUGGCGAACGGGUGAGUAACACGUGGGUAACCUGCCCAUAAGAGGGGGAUAACAUCCGGAAACGGGUGCUAAUACCGCAUAGUUUUCUUGAUCGCAUGAUCGGGAAAGGAAAGACGGCCUUUGUGCUGUCGCUUAUGGAUGGACCCGCGGCGUAUUAGUUAGUUGGUGAGGUAACGGCUCACCAAGACGAUGAUACGUAGCCGACCUGAGAGGGUGAUCGGCCACAUUGGGACUGAGACACGGCCCAAACUCCUACGGGAGGCAGCAGUAGGGAAUCUUCCGCAAUGGACGAAAGUCUGACGGAGCAACGCCGCGUGAGUGAAGAAAAGGUUUUCGGAUCGUAAAACUCUGUUGUCAGAGAAGAACAAGUUGGAGAGUAACUGCUCCAGCCUUGACGGUAUCUGACCAGAAAGCCACGGCUAACUACGUGCCAGCCGCAGC